RNAcentral lists this ribosomal RNA (492 nucleotides) under uncultured bacterium. RNAcentral's name for it is "partial 16S ribosomal RNA". It matches the Rfam family "Bacterial small subunit ribosomal RNA", at positions 29 to 507 of the family's 1533-position model. The record is from RNAcentral.
AGUGAACGCUGGCGGUAGGCCUAACACAUGCAAGUCGAACGGCAGCACAGUAAGAGCUUGCUCUUACGGGUGGCGAGUGGCGGACGGGUGAGGAAUACAUCGGAAUCUACUUUUUCGUGGGGGAUAACGUAGGGAAACUUACUCUAAUACCGCAUACUACCUACGGGUGAAAGCAAGGGAUCUUCGGACCUUGCGCGAUUGAAUGAGCCGAUGUCGGAUUAGCUAGUUGGCGGGGUAAAGGCCCACCAAGGCGACGAUCCGUAGCUGGUCUGAGAGGAUGAUCAGCCACACUGGAACUGAGACACGGUCCAGACUCCUACGGGAGGCAGCAGUGGGGAAUAUUGGACAAAGGGCGCAAGCCUGAUCCAGCCAUACCGCGUGGGUGAAGAAGGCCUUCGGGUUGUAAAGCCCUUUUGUUGGGAAAGAAAAGCAGCAGGUUAAUACCCCGCUGUUCUGACGGUACCCAAAGAAUAAGCACCGGCUAACUUCGUG